UACGUAGGGUGCAAGCGUUAAUCGGAAUUACUGGGCGUAAAGCGUGCGCAGGCGGUUAUGUAAGACAGAUGUGAAAUGCCCGGGCUUAACCUGGGAACUGCAUUUGUGACUGCAUGGCUAGAAUCUGGCAGAGGGGGGUAGAAUUCCACGUGUAGCAGUGAAAUGCGUAGAUAUGUGGAGGAACACCAGUGGCGAAAGCGGCUUCCUGGUCCAGCACCGACGUCAGGCA
RNAcentral lists this ribosomal RNA (229 nucleotides) under uncultured bacterium. RNAcentral's name for it is "partial 16S ribosomal RNA". It matches the Rfam family "Bacterial small subunit ribosomal RNA", at positions 524 to 753 of the family's 1533-position model. The record is from RNAcentral.